CAUUGACGAGCGGAUUAAGAACUUGGUCCAGUAGAUGGUGCCAGCGGGCCGCUGAAGAGCUCCCCUCGCCUUCUAUUCUGCGAGGAAGCAGCCGGGCUUGGUGGCAGCAGAGCCAAAAAGCCAAAGGUUUCAAACAAAUCUGGAGGAAAUGAGCCUCAGAACCACAGUGGCAGGAAGAUAGAGCUGUGGGCACCCAGGAAAAGCCCUCUGAAAUGGAAUAGGCUGAUUGUUUGCAGAGGAUGCACCUAAAUCAAUAUUUGAACCCUUAUUAUUCCUUCGUUCAAUUUCCAUUAAAAAUUAUUCGCCGCUCCUCUCUGAUAAAAAAUAACAAGGGGAAUUUGAAGAAGAAAAUGGAGCCGAGGCAGAGAAGGAAAAUGGUGCGGGCAAGGACCGAGAAUAUUUCCAGUCUCAGUGGGAACCGCCUCCCCAGCAGGAGCUGCAGGCCAAGGACUGCUCUUCCAGAAAGACGGUCCUGCACCCCCUGCACUCCCUCCCUCCGGGCAGAGCACAGGGAGCUCUGCCAUCCGUUCACGCAACAGAAUUCUGGAGCUGCGGAAAGGUGCCCGAGAACGGACCUCUUCAAGUCAUGCCCAGGUCUGCGGUGUAACCGGCCCCGGGCCCCAGGCUGGCUGCUCCUCCUUGGAGGCUCGCUCUCCCUCCCCCAAGCUGCUGCCUGAGUCCUGGGCCUGUCUUCCCUGCGCUCUCCCCCAGCUCUGAACACGACUGGACAAAGUCAGGUGCUCCGUGUGCUUAGCGGAUGGCAGCCUUGAAACCACCACGGGCUGCCUUCAGCAAGGUCCCCCCCCCCCCCCCCAAGAAUAGCAGGUGCCCUAAAAGGGGCUGGGAAUGGGGUAAAAGCUGUUGAUGAAACCACUCCCUCCCUAUCUGCUAUUGCUGGUGGAUUUUGAUGUCGACUAGAAUAAACAAUAGAAAAUGAAAACGCUGUUGCCUCCCAGCCCAGACAGCCCCGGCCAAGCUGGCUUCCUUCCCCACGCACGCAACGGCCGGCGGCCAAACCUUUUCCGCCUGUAAGAAACCUCAGUGCCAGCAGCGACUUGCCCACCAAGAAUUCCACUCACCGAGUCUUCCGGAGUCUGCGUGACUGUCUUACAGAGGCUGUUCUGUCCUGUGCCUGCUUUGAUAAAAUUGUUAUCACCCAGAAAAAAAGCUUUAUUCACCUACUUUAUCUCACCAUGACAGGAUUAAAAAUAAAAUCCCCAACCCCAAACCAGGCUUUCCUGACCUAACCAGGUAAACUGCCCCGCAGGCGCUGCACUGAACCCAGUGAUCCUGCGGAGAUUAACUAACUCUGCCCCCAGAAGCCUGAUCAGGCUCUGGGGCGUGGCUUUCAGAGGGAGCCUGGAGGCCGUCUGGGAUGAAGGAGACGGUUUCCAGGAGCAGAACUCCCCCCAAAGUCCCCCAAACAGCCAGUUUCUCCACCAGAGCCAGCCAGAAACCAGAGGGUAGAGGAGGAGCCGGGUGCGGUCAUGGGGCACGGGUGGCACGGGGCAGGCUUCCUGCCCCGGGUCCCUGCGGAGGCCUGGGGUUCUGGACGAGGCACCCGGCUAUCCUGGAGCCCCAGGCUCCCGGCACAGUGCUCCAUCCUUGGGGGCAUGACAAGCUGCUCUUGACUGCAGGGGUGCAUGUUCUCUCCCUGCCUCUGGGCUUCGCCCCACGCAGGCCGCAGGGAAGGGGAAAGCAGGCAUCGCCUGCAGUGAUGUCACCUCAGGGAGGCCUCUUGUGACAUUUUCAGUCCCUCCAGUCCGGCCAGGGAUCUGGGCCUGUCCAGACAUCAGCCAGAGAGGCUGCCCUGUCGUGUGCUACUUCUGAAGCCUGCUGUCCUCAGGAACUGGCCCGUUCAUAGCACCACAGCAAAGGGCCAGAGAAAGGGCUGGAGGGAGCCAGAGGCUUUGCAGGUGCACGGCUUAGCGAAAGUCACACCCUGAAAGGUGCUGCACCCUGACAGCAGUAUCCCUGCGUGGAGCUGAGAAUUUCCUCAGAGGCAAGAACCCAGACCCAGGCAUAGCCCUCAACCCCAGGGUGAAGGGUGUGAACCCCUAGUCAUCCGUGGUGCUGUGCCCGGCCAGGCCAGCAUCCUAUCUCAAGAUCUCCCAGCCGUGCUGAGACAGGAGCCACUGUCCUCUCCUUCUUCCCUUCAGUCUCAUUUGAUGGACUUUUCGUCCAAGUGUUAAGAUCUAAUCCACCUGUGGGAGGGACUGCCCGAUCUCAGGGCACAGCCGGUGAAAUCGGGGUUCUGGCAGCAGCGGAAGAGAGAAGCAUCUGGAAGUUCCAGCAGGAGGCGGAGGGAGAGAGGGUAUGAGGGUGGUGGGCACAGGGGCGCCCAGGAGACCCAGGUGGCCCAGGAGCCACACAGACACAGACCAGGGAGCACAGAGGUGCCCAGGGAGUCAGGCAGUUUGGAGGGACUUUCUUUCUUCUCCUAGAAACCUGCAAUUGCCUCCAUACUCUUAAGUGUCAUAAAGCUCUCAACUCACAAAAAACUCAGUUUGACUUCAGAGCAUGGGUUUUCCUUGCCCUUCAGGACUGGGCGUCAAGUCCAGGUGUAAAGGGAGGCUAGGCCGAGCCGCCUCCUGGAAGUGUACUCCCACAGGUGGCUUUUUGGGUGUGAACAGAACAUUCCCCAGAUGAACGUGUGGGAGCAAGGGCAGGCUGAGGAAAGGGCAGGAACGUCUCCAGCCCACCUACUAGUUCCCUGGGACCGCUGGAACGUCCCACAGACCGGGGGCUUAGAACCCCAGGACCGGGCCCUCUCACGGUUCUGCAGGUCGGGGGUUGGACGUCGCUCUGGAGGCUCCAGGGGGUCCUUUCUUGCCUCUUCUCAACUGUGCGGGGGCGGCCGGCCCGGGGCCACUCGCGGGUGCACGACUCUGAUCUGUGCCUCCGGCUUCACUCAGUCCUGCCUGGGUGUCUCUGUGUCCUCUCUCUUCUCAGAGGGACAUUGGCAGCGGCAUUAGGGUCCACCCCACUCCAGUAUGACCUCAUUUUAGCUGAUUAUAUCUGCAAAGACCCUACUUGCAAAUAAGUUCCCAUCCUGAGGGUCCAGGUGAACAUGAAUUUCGACUCAGCACACCCUGCGCUUUAUUUUCUCUACCUCAUACUCUGUGGCGUGGUUGCUUAGCCCCCGGCUUGCUUGAGGGCUAGGGCUUUUGCCUCCCUUUUCUCCAUAUCCCAAAGUGCCUGAUGCAGAACCAGACCCCAGCCAGCUCUCAGCGAACAAUCACACCCACAGUCCUCCUGAUCUGCAUUGACGUCACAACUUCUAUGUCAAUGCUGUGUAGAAAAAGCAAGAUCGGCUGCUCAUAGAUCUGUUUCAGCUGUAACAUGGAGAAGGGGAAUGGAAAUGUAAAUUUGGGCUGAUCCUGUUCCCUCCCGGCAAGCUGCAGAGUCUGCACAGUCUCCCGCAAACCCACACCUGGAUUUAUUCCUCCUCCUGCAAGAGGCUCUCCUGGUGUCCGCCCACGAUCGCAGCCUUGCCCCCAGUCCAAGUUGUGCAUGGCACAGCACACACCAGCUGCUGCACCCCUGCUGGGCCGCCCCCCGCCAUGCACACAGGGCACCUCCCCGCUGAGUGUCCUCACGAAGGCCUACCUGCACCCUCCUCCCCUAAGGGACCCCUACUCUUCAGCUUCGCUGGGUGUGUCUGACAUGCUGAUGCUCUAUCCUCAGCAGCCCUUAGCAAACUGGGUCUUCGUUUAUUCUGUUAAAUUCUCCUCCGUCCCAGCCCUGUUCCUCCGCCACUCCCUUGACUCUCUUUCUCCAGCUACAACCACGGUGGAUGGCUGGUCUGUGCCCUCCAGGCGUCACAGCUUCGCUUCUUUCUUCCUCUGCUCUCCGCUCUGCUCCUGGGCUCUCCGCUCUGCUCCUGGGCUCUCCGCUCUGCUCCUGGACUCCGUGUUUUGCAGGCGAUUAGGGGUCUCUUGGGGACCAGUUAUGCAUUUACCUGAACUCCCGAGUUUCUCCAAUGAGUAAUUUCCAUUGUCGGGACUUCUAACUUGUGUUUCAUAUCUGUCUGUUUUCCACUCAUAAAUACCAUCCGCACACGAUCACUGAUCUCUUGAAGAAUUCAAACACACAGCAUUUGCAUCCAUUUUAAACGUGUUCUACUGUUUGUGCUUCAGAGGACAUAAACUCACUUCUCAGUCGAUGUGGACUUUCUUGCUGUGAGUCUUCCGUAUUCAGGAGUUUCACUAGCAGGCCCACUUGAAUGACCGCUCUUUUAUUCUCCUUCUCCGGAAUCAUUCCUGCCUAGGACUGUCAUGGUUGCCUCUAGUGGUUGCUUCAGGAUGCCUGGUCCAGGAUCUGGUCUUAAGCUGGUGGCUCGGCGUUCCUAAACAGCAGGCAGUGGGGCUGGGACGUGUCCCCAGCAGGCGCCUCUGCAGUGGUGCUGGCUCCAGCCGCCCUCCCAGCCUGGGCGCUUUGGGCCCCAUCACCCCGCGGGAGUCUCACUCAGCAGCUUCAGCUCCUGCUCCCCUCAAACAAGAUCUUCUUGGAUUAUUAUGAAAGACCGCUCGUCACAUGUUGAGCAAUCUGCCCAGAAAAUAAAGAUUAUGUGUCUUAUCAAAAUAACCUGUACUGCACGUUGCCCUCGUCAGGUCUUUGAUCACUUAAGAAUGCUAAGUCUUUUCAAUAUGGAAAGAACUAAAGCGUUUUUCCUUCCUCCUCCUCCUCCUUCUCCGCAAACUAUGUGACUUCCUGAUUUGCCCUUGAAAUGUUUAAAUUGUCACUCUGGUUGAAUAGAAAACCAAAUAUUAUUUCACAUGAACACUGAUUUUAUUUAAUCAGGUUUUAAACCUCUGGAUAUUUUUGAAAACUUAAAGAAGUCAAAUUCUAAAUGAAAACUUUGACUAAGACCCAAUUUGGGGAUUUUUCCAGAGGGUCCCUGGACAAUUUCAAAUAUUGGGAGUGAUAUUAACUAUAAUUAACUAAAUUAUAAUUAGGUCUAUGAUAAGUUAAAUUACAUGAGAAGCACUAUCAAACAAAAGUGAUGUUUAGGGGCACCUGGGUGGCUCAGUGGGUUGGACCACUGCCUUCGGCUCAGGUCGUGAUCUCGGGGUCCUGGGAUGGAGUCCCGUGUUGGGCUCUCUGCUCGGCGGGGAGCCUGCUUCCCUCUCUCUCUCUCUCUGCCUACCU
This is a long non-coding RNA of Mustela lutreola (European mink), 5151 nucleotides long. RefSeq lists it as uncharacterized. The transcript has 3 exons. NCBI's taxonomy places the organism in Eukaryota, Metazoa, Chordata, Mammalia, Carnivora, Mustelidae. The record is from RefSeq and is a predicted model, not a curated record.